Molecule: ribosomal RNA, 253 nt
Filed under: uncultured bacterium
Lineage: Bacteria
Description: partial 16S ribosomal RNA
Rfam family: Bacterial small subunit ribosomal RNA
Source: RNAcentral
UACAGAGGUCUCAAGCGUUGUUCGGAUUUACUGGGCGUAAAGGGCGCGUAGGCGGCUUGUCAAGUCACUUGUGAAAUCUCUGGGCUUAACCCAGAACGGCCAAGUGAAACUGACAUGCUAGAGUGCAGAAGGGGCAAUCGGAAUUCUUGGUGUAGCGGUGAAAUGCGUAGAUAUCAAGAGGAACACCUGAGGUGAAGACGGGUUGCUGGGCUGACACUGACGCUGAGGCGCGAAAGCCAGGGGAGCAAACGGG